RNAcentral lists this unclassified non-coding RNA (336 nucleotides) under soil metagenome. Its description in RNAcentral is "partial contains 5.8S ribosomal RNA, internal transcribed spacer 2, and large subunit ribosomal RNA". The stretch from base 1 to 120 matches the Rfam family "5.8S ribosomal RNA", at positions 35 to 154 of the family's 154-position model. The record is from RNAcentral.
GAUGAAGAACGCAGCGAAAUGCGAUAAGUAAUGUGAAUUGCAGAAUUCAGUGAAUCAUCGAAUCUUUCAACGCACAUUGCGCCCGCCAGUAUUCUGGCGGGCAUGCCUGUUCGAGCGUCAUUUCAACCAUCAAGCCCCCGGCUUGUGUUGGGGACCUGCGGCUGCCGCAGGCCCUGAAAAGCAGUGGCGGGCUCGCUGUCACACCGAGCGUAGUAGCAUACAUCUCGCUCUGGGCGUGCUGCGGGUUCCGGCCGUUAAACCACCUUCAUAACCCAAGGUUGACCUCGGAUCAGGUAGGAAGACCCGCUGAACUUAAGCAUAUCAAUAAGCGGAGGA